AAAGAUGAAAUAAAGAAAUUGAGAUAAAAACGAUCUCAGAAUUAAGAGAGCAGAAGUACAAAUAUAACAUGAUGAUGACUUUAAACGUAUAAUAAAAAAAAUACUUACUGACUUUUUUUUGUAUUUUGUGGCUUUUAUGUGUCAGUAUCUAUUAUUUAAAUUAUUAUUUCUCUGAAAGAUUAACCCUGUAAGUGUUUACUCGGGUUUAUUAUUUGCUUUUUGAUUUGCGAUCUUUUCCUGACCUGUACCUUUGGCUUUGUGUGUUUGUGUCUCUCUUUUUGAACCUUGAGUAAACUCUGCUGUUACAUACAUUGUAUUUACAUGGAGUAUUUCUGGAAGUGUGCGUGAUCCCGUUAGGUCCAACCCUCUUUCUGCUCUAUUUAAACCUGAGUAUUUGCUUCAGGUCAGAUAUUCUAAAAGAUCAGAAUAAUGGUAAGUCCACUUUUUAAUAGAUUACUGUAUAAUAUAUUGUUAUCUAACAUCUCAUAGGCUUCAUUAACAUUUUGUGCAAUGUACUAGGAUAAAUUAUCUCUUUAAAAUAAGCUUAUUGUUUUUAUACAAAUUGCCUGAAUGAGAGAUUUUCUGAUGUUUUUUUGUUUUUUUUUUACAAAAAUGGCUAAAUGAUAAAUCCUGAAAUCUAAAAAUCAUUGACAUUAAAUAUUAAAGAUUAAUCAACAAAAUUCUUUAAACAUGUUUUUUGCAUUGGGUUCAUGCACUGAAGAUAUUUGAAUUAUUUACAAGUUAUUUAUAUCAGUAAUUACUCAAAAGUAAAAAUAGUAACCUCAGGAACAUUUAUAUGUAACUUUAACUUUUUUGUUUUUACCUUUGUGCUUUUAUUUGUAAAAUGUUUUGCAGCUAUAUUGAUUUUUUAUUAUUCAAUAUUAGUUAAUAAUUUUAUUUGUUUUUUAUGUAUUAUUUAUUUAUUAUUAUUAUUAUUAUUAUUAUUAUUAUUAUUAUUAUUAUUAUUGUUAUUAUUAUUAUUUUAUAAAAUAAUGACAUAUAAUCCCAAUGAAGUCGUUACAAUUCCAGGUUGUAAGAGAAUAAAAUGUGGAAAUGUUUAAUGAGCGAGUAGUUAUGUGAGUGAAGACUCUAUGUUUGUAUCUUGUCUGUGAUCUUCUCUUUCUUUAUUUGUUUUUUUGGUUCCAAAGUCCAAGAUGAAGAGGUCUGUGUUUGUGGGUUUCGUCCUGCUUGCUCUCAUCCCAUUGAUUUAUGGUGACUGUUGGUAUCAACUGCCCCGUUAUGCUGCGACUCAUUGUCAAGAUGACCUGGAUAAGACGUGGCACCCAAUAGGAGCCGAAUGGUUAAACAGCAGGUGCACAAGAUGCACAUGUGCUCUGGAUGGGAUGCGUUGCUGUGACAAAUGGCCAACACGUGCGUCUGGAGGCUGCACCAUUAAAUAUGAUUAUAAAACCUGUACAUAUGAAGUGAUUCGUGUCGAUGAAAUUGUUUCCUGUCACUUUGUUGGAAAGUGAUUAUAACAACUGAAAGAUGAUCAUCACAGACUUAAGAGAGAAGAAGUACAAAUAUAACAUGAUGACUAAACCUAUAAUAAAAAAAUUACUUACUGACUUACUUUAGUGGCUUGAUGUGUCAGUAAAGCAGACUGGAGCGUCUGGUUUUAAUAAAGAAAAUCUUGUUUACUGUACAAUAUUUCCUUAGAAAAAUCUGAUCUGAAAUUUCUGAUUUUUUAUUUUUAUUUUUUUUUCUUUCAGAUUGCCAACAAGUGCGUCUGGAGGCUGCACCAUUAAAUAUGAUUAUGACGCCUGUACAUUUGAAUUGAAGGUUCUGGAUGAAAAUGUUCCCUGGUUCAAUAUGACGUCGGUCCACCCCUUGCAGCUAUAACAGCUUCAACUCUUCUGGGAAGGCUGUCCACAAGGUUUAGGAGUGUGUUUAUGGGAAUUUUUGACCAUUCUUCCAGAAGCGCAUUUGUGAGGUCACACACUGAUGUUGGACGAGAAGGCCUGGCU
RNA transcript from Hemibagrus wyckioides, 1967 nucleotides. It is a transcript of the gene named beta-microseminoprotein-like, with no coding region annotated. Lineage: Eukaryota; Metazoa; Chordata; Actinopteri; Siluriformes; Bagridae. The record is from RefSeq and is a predicted model, not a curated record. The transcript is spliced from 4 exons.